Molecule: long non-coding RNA, 1348 nt
Organism: Xenia sp. Carnegie-2017
Lineage: Eukaryota; Metazoa; Cnidaria; Anthozoa; Malacalcyonacea; Xeniidae
Exons: 3
Source: RefSeq, a predicted model, not a curated record
AGAUGUAGAUAUGAACGUUGAAGGCGAAACGGAAACGAAGGGUAUUUUGUUGUAACGAGAGUAUUUAAGAACGCGUAAAUAUCACAACUACAUUGAAGUUUCUCAAGCUCUGUUGAAGUUAUCUUGUUGAAAAUCGGUUGGAAUCUUAAUGGAAAUCGUUGACUAUUCGCUAUUUGUUGAGGAAAAACUUGUACGGGUAAGAGUUUAAUAUCAUUUCCUUUUAUUCACGAACUAAUUUCUUUUCUCUAGCUACGCUAAAGUCUGUUUAUUGGAGACUCUUCCCAAUACUGUUGCAAAGACUUUACGUUGUUUGAAAUAAAGCUACGCUAAAGUCUGUGUAUUGGAAGGACUAUACGUUGUUUGAAAUAAAGAUGAUCACACGGUAUAGAAAACGAUUAAUGGAUCAUUUGAAAGAGUAUUUGCAUCAUACUGAUGAAAUAUCAUACUGGGUUUUUAUUAUAAAAUGUUAUUGUAAAGACGUAUAUCAAUUACCCACAAAAUUUUUAAUGUGGGUGAAAAAACAAUUUAUUAUAAAAGUUAGACAAUAUGAAAAGAACUUUUAUGAUAUUAAAGAUCUUGAUAAAGUUUUAAAUAUUUUUAUUUGCAUAAUCCAAAGAAUCAGGGUACGGCUUUUAAAAAAGUACAAUAGAUUUUUAUGCUAGGAAAAAUUAUGGUUUAUUUCGAAAAAAAAGUGUUAUGAGCUUAUUUAAAGAACUCUGCGAAAGUAAAUUUCAGAACUGUCAAAAGUGCAAUUAUUGUGUAAGGUUCAAGUUAGCCUUAGCAAAAUUAAUACUGGAUUAUAUUGAAGCUGAUUUUUUUCAUUUUAUUCGUGGAAAGAUACAAAGAAAGGAUUAUUUUCGAAUUAAAGACAAAUUUCUAUUAAAAAUAUUGCAAAAAGGAAAUAUGGAUUGUACUUUAUUAAACACCACCGGAUUGUUGGAUAAAGUUUAUAUGCAUUUAAAAAAAGAUGAUAAUAUUAAAGAAGAAGAAUAUAACAAUGAUAUUGAAGAAGAAGAAUAUGACAACGAUAUAAUUGAUUUUAAUAAAAAGAAAGGUCAGAAAGGAAAAUUAAUAUCUGACAAAAAAGCUAUGAAGCGAGUUAACAAAAUUAAUGAUACUUUUUUUUAUUAGUAAUUUUUUUUGAAAUUGAAUAAUGGAAAGACAUUAUAUCAAAAGUCAUGUGCUGUUAUAGAUCAUAAUGGAUAUACUUUUUGUCGUGUAGGACAUUUUGGCGGACAUACUUGUAAUUUUUAUUAUAAUCAAUGUAUACCCAAAGUUGAUAUUAACUCUAACUAUACAAUGUAUAUAAAUAUAUAUGCUAUUAAAAAUCAAUUGUUUCAUUUUUAAA